AUCAUGGCGCUACGGGGAGAGUCGAUGAUUUACGGCUUUGGAGGGCGUGCAUGUGUAUGAUUAAGGGAUGUCCUUUGUCAAGACUCACAGUCAAAACAGGAAGAUAAAAAAGACAGUUUGAAGCGUGAGGAUGCAACUUUUGAUCCUUUCUGGACGUCUUAAGUGCAAGCAAGAGCGUCUUCCUAAGUUUCCUGUUUGUUUUUUUUCCAAGGAGCUGUCCAUGACAAAGAUACAGUCAUCUCCUGGAGUCACCGUAUUCUCUCUGGAGGCAUAGAUCCUGACUUGAAAGUUGCUGAUAAAAAUUUUUUUGGAUGCCAACUCUACCAACUUGAGGUCAAAAGAUAAUUUUAUUCACUUAAAUAUAGUUACUGAGGCAUGGAGAAAAUGCUA
Molecule: long non-coding RNA, 390 nt
Organism: Ochotona curzoniae (black-lipped pika)
Lineage: Eukaryota; Metazoa; Chordata; Mammalia; Lagomorpha; Ochotonidae
Exons: 3
Source: RefSeq, a predicted model, not a curated record